Molecule: ribosomal RNA, 822 nt
Filed under: Mycoplasmopsis gallinacea
Lineage: Bacteria; Bacillati; Mycoplasmatota; Mycoplasmoidales; Metamycoplasmataceae
Description: bacterial SSU rRNA
Rfam family: Bacterial small subunit ribosomal RNA
Source: RNAcentral
UUGUUUGUUAAGUCUGGUGUGAAAACUUGGGGCUCAACCCCAAAUUGCAUUGGAUACUGGCAAACUAGAAUUGUGUAGAGGUUAGCGGAAUUCCUUGUGAAGCGGUGGAAUGCGUAGAUAUAAGGAAGAACAUCAACAUGGCGAAGGCAGCUAACUGGACACAUAUUGACACUGAGAGACGAAAGCGUGGGGAGCAAACAGGAUUAGAUACCCUGGUAGUCCACGCCGUAAACGAUGAUGAUUAGCUGAUGGGGAACUCAUCGGCGCAGCUAACGCAUUAAAUCAUCCGCCUGAGUAGUAUGCUCGCAAGAGUGAAACUUAAAGGAAUUGACGGGGAUCCGCACAAGCGGUGGAGCAUGUGGUUUAAUUUGAAGAUACGCGUAGAACCUUACCCACUCUUGACAUCUUCUGCAAAGCUAUAGAGAUAUAGUGGAGGUUAACAGAAUGACAGAUGGUGCAUGGUUGUCGUCAGCUCGUGUCGUGAGAUGUUCGGUUAAGUCCUGCAACGAGCGCAACCCUUGUCCUUAGUUAAACGUUCUAGGGAGACUGCCCGGGUAACCGGGAGGAAGGUGGGGACGACGUCAAAUCAUCAUGCCUCUUACGAGUGGGGCAACACACGUGCUACAAUGGAUGGUACAAAGAGACGCAAUACGGCGACGUGGAGCAAAUCUCAAAAAACCAUUCUCAGUUCGGAUUGUAGUCUGCAACUCGACUACAUGAAGUCGGAAUCGCUAGUAAUCGUAGAUCAGCUACGCUACGGUGAAUACGUUCUCGGGUCUUGUACACACCGCCCCGUCACACCAUGGGGAGCUGGUAAUGCCC